AUUGAACGCUGGCGGCAUGCUUUACACAUGCAAGUCGAACGGCAGCACGGGCUUCGGCCUGGUGGCGAGUGGCGAACGGGUGAGUAAUGCAUCGGAACGUACCCAUUUGUGGGGGAUAACUACGCGAAAGCGUGGCUAAUACCGCAUACGCCCUGAGGGGGAAAGCGGGGGAUCGCAAGACCUCGCGCUAUUGGAGCGGCCGAUAUCAGAUUAGGUAGUUGGUGGGGUAAAGGCCUACCAAGCCGACGAUCUGUAGCUGGUCUGAGAGGACGACCAGCCACACUGGGACUGAGACACGGCCCAGACUCCUACGGGAGGCAGCAGUGGGGAAUUUUGGACAAUGGGCGCAAGCCUGAUCCAGCCAUGCCGCGUGCGGGAAGAAGGCCUCGGUUGUAACCGCUUUGUCAGGAGAAUACGCAUGGUUAAUACCUACGUGCGGAUGACGGUACCGGCGACUAAGAAGCACCGGCUAACUACGUAGCCAGCAGCCGCGGUAA
Molecule: ribosomal RNA, 497 nt
Filed under: uncultured bacterium
Lineage: Bacteria
Description: bacterial SSU rRNA
Rfam family: Bacterial small subunit ribosomal RNA
Source: RNAcentral